UGGGUAGUAUUCCAAAAGUCAAAUACAGUCAUUUCCCAAUGAUUGAUUGACAUGAAACUACAUCAGGAGAAUUUUAUUUUAUUUUUGAAAGGCGGCUCAUAUCCAAUAUGGAAUGGGACCGGAAG
This is a regulatory RNA element of 125 nucleotides. It matches the Rfam family "pan motif". The record is from Rfam.